GAUGAAGAACGUAGCGAAAUGCGAUACGUAAUGUGAAUUGCAGAAUUCAGUGAAUCAUCGAAUCUUUGAACGCACAUUGCGCCUGCCAGCACUCUGGCAGGCAUGCCUGUUCGAGCGUCAUUUCAACCAUCAAGCCCUAGGCUUGCGUUGGAGCCCUGCGGCUGCCGCAGGCCCCUAAAAGCAGUGGCGGGCUCGCUAUCACACCCAGUGCAGUAGAUUACUCUUCGCUCAGGGCGUGUGGCGGGUUCCAGCCGUGAAACCCCCUACUUCUCAAGGUUGACCUCGGAUCAGGUAGGAAUACCCGCUGAACUUAAGCAUAUCAAUAAGCGGAGGA
RNAcentral lists this unclassified non-coding RNA (334 nucleotides) under soil metagenome. RNAcentral's name for it is "partial contains 5.8S ribosomal RNA, internal transcribed spacer 2, and large subunit ribosomal RNA". The stretch from base 1 to 120 matches the Rfam family "5.8S ribosomal RNA", at positions 35 to 154 of the family's 154-position model. The record is from RNAcentral.